Molecule: unclassified non-coding RNA, 356 nt
Filed under: uncultured Ascomycota
Lineage: Eukaryota; Fungi; Ascomycota
Description: sequence contains ITS2
Rfam family: 5.8S ribosomal RNA (bases 1-154)
Source: RNAcentral
AACUUUUGGCAACGGAUCACUUGGUUCUGGCAUCGAUGAAGAACGCAGCGAAAUGCGAUAAGUAAUGUGAAUUGCAGAAUUCAGUGAAUCAUCGAAUUUCUGAACGCAUAUUGCGCCCUUUGGCAUUCCGAAGGGCAUACCUGUUCGAGCGUCAUUACACCCCUCAAACUUAGGUUUGAUGUUGGGCAUUGCUGUAAGGGCAUGCCUAAAAAUUAGCGAUGGUAACCUUCAACCACAGGCGCACAAAUGUCGCAAUGUUGGAAGUUGGGGCCAGUCUUUAACAAAAUUUUCUAAAUGUUGACCUCGGAUCAGGUAGGGAUACCCGCUGAACUUAAGCAUAUCAAUAAGCGGAGGCU